Molecule: small nuclear RNA, 282 nt
Filed under: Heterocephalus glaber (naked mole-rat)
Lineage: Eukaryota; Metazoa; Chordata; Mammalia; Rodentia; Bathyergidae
Description: 7SK RNA
Rfam family: 7SK RNA
About the family: 7SK was discovered as an abundant small nuclear RNA in the mid-70s but a possible function has only recently been suggested. Two independent studies have found that 7SK RNA binds the CDK9/cyclin T complex (known as elongation factor P-TEFb).
Source: Rfam by way of RNAcentral
AGACGCAAAGGUGAUCUGGGUGCAACAUCUGUCACCUCAUCGAUCACCAGGAUUCACUCAGCUGAUCUGGUUGGGUAGGCAGGUGUCUGCUUUCUUCUUCAUAUCUGCAUGUGCAUUAAAUAGGAUGAACUUCCCUGAUAGAGGAGGACUGUGCUUGGUUCAAGGAUAAAUGAAUAUCUGUGCUGCUCCAGUAGAAUCUCCAAAGCUCUCAAGAGGACUUCAUACCCAGGUAAGUCUCUCUCAGUUAUAUGAAUCGUCACACUUACAAACUGGGGUUACUAU